Non-coding RNA from Cordylochernes scorpioides, 65 nucleotides. The record is from the annotation of a GenBank genome assembly. NCBI's taxonomy places the organism in Eukaryota, Metazoa, Arthropoda, Arachnida, Pseudoscorpiones, Chernetidae.
UUUAGCCAGAUUCACUGGUUCCUUUAUGGAAUAUGGAUAUGGGAACCAGUGACUCAUUGGUUAAA